Biscogniauxia marginata is the source of this 135-nucleotide non-coding RNA. Lineage: Eukaryota; Fungi; Ascomycota; Sordariomycetes; Xylariales; Xylariaceae. The record is from the annotation of a GenBank genome assembly.
GCCCGGUUAGCUCAAUCGGUAGAGCGUGAGACUCUUAAUCUCAAGGUUGCGGGUAAGUUGUUAUACUAAACAAGCAUUUAAUAAGAGCAAUUAUCCUAACCCAUUAAUCAAAAGGUUCGACCCCCGCAUCGGGCU